RNAcentral lists this ribosomal RNA (253 nucleotides) under uncultured bacterium. RNAcentral describes it as "partial 16S ribosomal RNA". It matches the Rfam family "Bacterial small subunit ribosomal RNA", at positions 524 to 776 of the family's 1533-position model. The record is from RNAcentral.
GACGUAGGGACCGAGCGUUGUCCGGAUUUAUUGGGCGUAAAGCGCGCGCAGGCGGCCGUGCAAGUCGGAUGUGAAAACCAGAGGCUCAACCUCUGGCCUGCAUUCGAAACUGCACGGCUAGAGGCAGGUAGGGGAGAGGGGAAUUCCCGGUGUAGCGGUGAAAUGCGCAGAUAUCGGGAGGAACACCGGUGGCGAAGGCAGCUCACUGGGACGGUAUUGACGCUGAGACGCGAAAGCGUGGGGAGCAAACAGG